AGUUCACAGAUGGCGCUGCGUGAAGCGUCUCUAACAACGGUUGCCAUGGCUGCUGUCCGGAAUCAUCAGAGGAGGGAGAAAGAUGUUGAUGGUGAAGAUCGGGAGUAGUGUCGUAUCUUUAUUGUUUUAUUCACCGGCAAUUUAUAAGGAAUAAUUGGAUAUACACUAUAAAUCUUCGCAUCAUCUAUAAGGAAAAAUGCGCAUCUGUUCUUUUUAUGAGAAAACAUUAUUCAAUGACAUAGUUUAGCUCCAGUUUCUCUCCCAUGGAUAAAUUUAAAUGGGAGGAAAAAGAAGCUUGAUUGUAUGGAAUAGUCAUUAAAGAUUCAUAGCUUCUGAAACUUAAAAAAACAUCUAUUACAUGGAUAUACAUGUUAUGAAU
This is a non-coding RNA of Parasteatoda tepidariorum (common house spider), 379 nucleotides long. NCBI's taxonomy places the organism in Eukaryota, Metazoa, Arthropoda, Arachnida, Araneae, Theridiidae. The record is from RefSeq and is a predicted model, not a curated record.